RNAcentral lists this ribosomal RNA (301 nucleotides) under uncultured bacterium. RNAcentral describes it as "partial 16S ribosomal RNA". It matches the Rfam family "Bacterial small subunit ribosomal RNA", at positions 509 to 808 of the family's 1533-position model. The record is from RNAcentral.
CAGUCGCCGCGGGAAUACGUAGGUGGCAAGCGUUGUCCGGAAUUAUUGGGCGUAAAGCGCGCGCAGGCGGUUUCUUAAGUCUGAUGUGUAAGCCCCCGGCUUAACCGGGGAGGGUCAUUGGAAACUGGGAGACUUAGAGUGCAGAAGAGGAGAGUGGAAUUCCAUGUGUAGCGGUGAAAUGCGUAGAUAUAUGGAGGAACACCAGUGGCGAAGGCGACUCUCUGGUCUGUAACUGACGCUGAGGCGCGAAAGCGUGGGGAGCAAACAGGAUUAGAUACCCCAGUAGUCCCUGUCUCUUAUA